Molecule: ribosomal RNA, 497 nt
Filed under: uncultured bacterium
Lineage: Bacteria
Description: partial 16S ribosomal RNA
Rfam family: Bacterial small subunit ribosomal RNA
Source: RNAcentral
GACGAACGCUGGCGGCGUGCCUAAUACAUGCAAGUAGAACGCUGAAGAGAGGAGCUUACUCUUUUUGGAUGAGUUGCGAACGGGUGAGUCACGCGUGGGUACCCUGCCUUGUAGUGGGGGAUCACUAGUGGACACGAUAGCUAAUACCGUAUAACAAUGGAUGACAUAUGGGAUGUAUUAGAAAGGGGCAAGUGCUCCACUAAAAGACGGACCUGCGUUGUAUUAGUGAGUAGGUGCGGUAAUGGCGCACGUAGGCGUCGAUACAUAGCCGACCUGAGAGGGUGGCCGGCCGCCCUGGGACUGUGACACGGCCCAGUGGGAUUCAGGAGGCAGCAGUAGGGAUUCGUGGGCAAUGGGGGCAACCCUGACCGCGCAACGCCGCGUGCGUGAAGAAGGUUUUCGGGUGGGAAAGCUCUGUUGUAGGUCAAGAACGGGUGUGAGAGUGGAAAGUUCAGACUGUGACGGUAGCUUACCAGGAAGGGACGGCUAACUACGUG